UGGGGAAUCUUGGACAAUGGGCGCAAGCCUGAUCCAGCCAUGCCGCGUGAGUGAAGAAGGCCUUCGGGUUGUAAAGCUCUUUUUACCAGGGACGAUAAUGACGGUACCUGGAGAAUAAGCCCCGGCAAACUUCGUGCCAGCAGCCGCGGUAAUACGAAGGGGGCUAGCGUUGUUCGGAAUUACUGGGCGUAAAGCGCACGUAGGCGGAUUGUUAAGUCAGAGGUGAAAUCCCGGAGCUCAACUUCGGAACUGCCUUUGAUACUGGCAAUCUAGAGUCCGGAAGAGGUUAGUGGAAUUCCCAGUGUAGAGGUGAAAUUCGUAGAUAUUGGGAAGAACACCAGUGGCGAAGGCGGCUAACUGGUCCGGUACUGACGCUGAGGUGCGAAAGCGUGGGGAGCAAACAGGAUUAGAUACCCGUGUAGUCCCUGAGCGGGCUGGCAAGGCGCAU
Molecule: ribosomal RNA, 448 nt
Filed under: uncultured bacterium
Lineage: Bacteria
Description: bacterial SSU rRNA
Rfam family: Bacterial small subunit ribosomal RNA
Source: RNAcentral